Molecule: ribosomal RNA, 497 nt
Filed under: uncultured bacterium
Lineage: Bacteria
Description: partial 16S ribosomal RNA
Rfam family: Bacterial small subunit ribosomal RNA
Source: RNAcentral
GAUGAACGCUGGCGGCGUGCCUAAUACAUGCAAGUCGAGCGAACAGAUGAGGAGCUUGCUCCUCUGACGUUAGCGGCGGACGGGUGAGUAACACGUGGAUAACCUACCUAUAAGACUGGGAUAACUUCGGGAAACCGGAGCUAAUACCGGAUAAUAUAUUGAACCGCAUGGUUCAAUAGUGAAAGACGGUUUUGCUGUCACUUAUAGAUGGAUCCGCGCCGCAUUAGCUAGUUGGUAAGGUAACGGCUUACCAAGGCAACGAUGCGUAGCCGACCUGAGAGGGUGAUCGGCCACACUGGAACUGAGACACGGUCCAGACUCCUACGGGAGGCAGCAGUAGGGAAUCUUCCGCAAGGGGCGAAAGCCUGACGGAGCAACGCCGCGUGAGUGAUGAAGGUCUUCGGAUCGUAAAACUCUGUUAUUAGGGAAGAACAAAUGUGUAAGUAACUAUGCACGUCUUGACGGUACCUAAUCAGAAAGCCACGGCUAACUACGUG